RNAcentral lists this ribosomal RNA (253 nucleotides) under uncultured bacterium. RNAcentral describes it as "partial 16S ribosomal RNA". It matches the Rfam family "Bacterial small subunit ribosomal RNA", at positions 524 to 776 of the family's 1533-position model. The record is from RNAcentral.
UACAGAGGUCUCAAGCGUUGUUCGGAUUCAUUGGGCGUAAAGGGUGCGUAGGCGGCGCGGUAAGUCGGGUGUGGAAUCUUGGAGCUUAACUCCGAAACUGCAUUCGAUACUGCCGUGCUUGAGGACUGGAGAGGAGACUGGAAUUUACGGUGUAGCGGUGAAAUGCGUAGAUAUCGUAAGGAAGACCAGUGGCGAAGGCGGGUCUCUGGACAGUUCCUGACGCUGAGGCACGAAGGCCAGGGGAGCAAACGGG